GACGAACCGUCCAACCGUUAUUCGGAAUCACUGGGCUUAAAGGGUGCGUAGGCGGCGCGGAAAGUUGGGUGUGAAAUCCCUCGGCUCAACCGAGGAAUUGCGCCCAAAACUUCCGUGCUCGAGGAAGAUAGAGGUGAGCGGAACUUAGGGUGGAGCGGUGAAAUGCGUUGAUAUCCUAAGGAACACCGGUGGCGAAAGCGGCUCACUGGAUCUUUUCUGACGCUGAGGCACGAAAGCUAGGGUAGCGAACGGG
This 253-nucleotide ribosomal RNA is filed under the name uncultured bacterium. RNAcentral describes it as "partial 16S ribosomal RNA". It matches the Rfam family "Bacterial small subunit ribosomal RNA", at positions 524 to 776 of the family's 1533-position model. The record is from RNAcentral.